Molecule: long non-coding RNA, 25377 nt
Filed under: Malus domestica (apple)
Lineage: Eukaryota; Viridiplantae; Streptophyta; Magnoliopsida; Rosales; Rosaceae
Description: long non-coding RNA (MDOM_LNC002490)
Source: RNAcentral
AACAGUGGAGAGAUCGGAGAGAGGAAUUCAAGAAAAAGGUCAGCCGCUGCGUGAGGAAAUCACAGGAGAUGCUAUGAAAUAUCAAAUAUGAUGUUUGCUACCAAGUUGAACAUUUUCUCUGCACAAGUGCGUGAGAGGAGGUGUGAAUUGGCAAAAGCGUUUGCCCUUGUAGAAUGUCAUUGAUUUUCUCACCCAAAAUAUCUUUAUUUCUUUUUGCUGUUUUUUUUUCUGCUUUUUUGGUUUUUUCUGUUGGUUUCUUCUUCUUCUUCUUUCUUUUUCUUCUCAUCGUCUAGUAAUUGUUAAAACAUGGAACAUCUCUGUAUUCAAUUAUCUGGUACCUUGCUUACCUUUCAUUUGGUUUUGCUUGAUGGAUUGGAUUCGAGCUUCAUGUCGUUUUCAAUUUAUAGUCGACAUUGUGGGACCAUGAUUUUCGCGAAUUUGGCUCCAACAAAUAUCAUCGUUCUGGUUUAACUCGUAUUUCACAAACAAAAUCACUAGGUUCUUGGCCGUUUGCGUGCAUUUCACGUGGACUCACAUGUAUAAAAAUGGUGGAUGUCCAUGCAAAUGGAUGUUCUACUAUGUACGGAUAUGUUGUACUGAAGCUUUUGGCCGAUAAUUAAAUAUUUUGACAAUUGCAAUAAUUAUGGCAACGGUUCAUAUCUUCCAAUCAACAAUUUUGGUUUUUAGUCCUGUCGUUGAAAAUUUAACAGUGUUACUGAGACAUGCUUUCAACUCUUGGAGUAGUAAAAAUUUAGCCUUUUGGCUUGAGGUUCUAAAUCUAAAUCUACUUUGACUUGCUCCAAUCUUCGGGCUAAAUAUGAAUUUUUAGUUCAAAACUCAUUUUUUGGAUCAAAUUUAGAUCAGGAUUUCCUUUUAAGUUAGUGAAUUGACCCACCAUAUAUUUAUAUUUUUUUUAGUUCUAUAUUUAUAAACUCAUUGAAUCUAAUAGCGAAGAUCUUAUAUGAUUAAAUUCAAUGAUAUAAAAAAGAUUAAACGGUCCAAAUUUAAAUCUAAUAACUAAAACAAUUAAAAAAAUAAAAAACCUUUCAUGUGUUCUAUAUUCUUUCAUAGUGUUCUACUAGUUUCAUUGUAUCGAUUUAGUGAUUUUUCAAUAUUUAUCGAAAUUUAAAUAUUUUUAGUUAAAAUAAUUAUAAAAUUAAAUUAGAAUAGUCUACAUAAUUUUUCUUUUAAAAGUUAUUUUAAGAAAAAAAAAUUAUCUCAAAUUCAUUAUUUAAUAAUCUUAGGCUAAUUUUUUUUUACUCAAAUAAAUUUUCUUUAAUAAUCUCGAAUUAGAAUUUUUAGACUCAAAUAAGUUUUCGGGCCAAAUUCAUUCUUUAAAUUAGGACAGUCUAUAUGGAUGGAGGCCUUAGCAAAUAAGUUUUCGGACUCAACUGGGAAAUGACAUACAUGAUGCAUAUAAUGGAAUAGGAUCCCCUCCGGAUCUUUUUUAUGAUGAUCCGGAUGAUCAAUCAAUCGUGUGUUGUUCAUCGUAUAUCGUGCGAUUAGAAAUCAUUUUAAAUUUUAAAAUUUAAAUUAAAUAUAAAUAGUAUCUAACGAAAACUGACCGCAUAAUGAACGAUGAACAUAUACCCGGUAAGCAAGCAAGCUACCAGUUGGAAGUAAACACACGAUUCGUUUAUCUAAAAUUUCGAACAUAAAACUGGGAAAAAAACAUAUUACAGAUUCAUUUAUUCAUGAUUAUCUCAGUAACAGGAUCACUGCUUUUUUGGUGGAUUGACAUAGCUUCCCAACCUCACCACGAUCCCAUCAAGAGAUCUCUUACGUACCCCACUUUCUCUCUUCCGGCUGGCUCACCGGCACCGCCCCAUUCUCCACCGCCCUCUGCUCAAACCCAAUUUAAACAAUAAAAAAGGAAUAAAUAAAAAAUAGGAAGACUUUGGAUGUGGUCGGUAGCUAUAAAUAUUCUUUAACUGAAACAUUGGUUUUCAAUUUUGAUCGAAGGCGUUGAAAUUAAUGUGAUAAUUUAUUUCUAUGUAUAUUACUUUUUUUUAAAUUGAAAAUUAAAAUUUAUAAUUGUUUAUAUUAAUGAGAUUUUAAAUAAAAACCCAUAAUUUGUGGGAUUAAAAAUAUUAAAAUAUAAAUAUACUAUUGUGUGUGUAUAUAAACCUGGGUACAUUCUUCAAAAUUUUAAAAAAAAAAUAUUAGGCUUAAUAACAUUAAUAAAUUUCUUCGUUUAAACUUGACAUGGAUACAUUCUCAAAUCAGAGAAAAAAGAAUGUACCCAUAUAAGUUUAAAAAUGAAUUUUAAAAAAUUUAAAUAGAUUUUAUAUAAAAAAAUGGUACAUUUUACAUAUAACAAAUUUGUAUAUUGAAGAAACAUUACAUUUUAAGAUUAAAAUUUUGAAAAAAUUACGUGGUACAUAUAAGAUUAAAAAAUUGAAAACAUUUUUUUUUAAGCUAAUGGGUACAAACUUAUUCUAAUUUUUACUUUAUUUUGGAAAUAUUUUGAAUUGAAAAUUAGUUAGGAGUUUAAUAAAGGUGUGAGUAUUAAAAUUCUAAAUCAAUUAUUAAUUUUUAUUUUUAAAAAAUUAUGUAACUGACAUUUAAAUUCAUUAUUACAUUAAUGCUAGAGAUUUGGAUCAAAAUCUAAAAACUAAUAUGGUUUAAGUCAAUGAACAUUAUUAACUAGGACCAGAUAAAAAUAUCAAUCCGUAACUCCACGCAUAUUCAGAAAUAACUCAUUAAUAAGUAAAUAACAAAUAAUUGAAACGAGAAAAAAAUGAGUGUGCAAAUUCAUUCCCUAACUAUUUUUGCACCUGUUAUAGCCGUCCAAGCGACGAAUAUUGUAGCCAAAGGCUUUGGAGUAGAAGGCGGUGGAUAGAGCCACGUCCUUCACGUACACCACCGUGUAGGCAAACACUGUGUUCAUCUUCAACGCCGACGCCAUCUUCUGUUUUUUUUUUUUUUUUUUUUUUUUUUUUUUGGUUAUUGAUUGAAUUAACUGGUUCGUUUUGAUGCGUUUGAUUUCAUUAGUUUCAGUUUCAGAUUAACCGACUCUUAGAUGUACGUGGCGAGUUGUGGAGAUUGGAUAUGCGGCACGUGGAGUCUGUGCAUGUUGAACAAAAGGUGCUGUCGCGUGAUCGGUGAUUCUGUGUGAAUGGCGACGAGGGCCAAGAUUUGUUUGUUCCUUGACAUGCAAGGGCUCUUGACGGUAUUACAAGUUACAAAAAUAUGUUUUUGUAUAACAGAACCUUAUGGGGAAAGUGACAACGAUGGUGGUGGGCGCUUACAGUCAUAAUUUGGUGGGGCACACUACAUAUUAAAUAAAUAGAAAGUUAAGGUACUUCAACUAGUAUAACAUAUUAAAUCUCACUAAAUAAACAACUUGCACCAAGUUUAAAUAAGCUAAAAAAGGUUGACGAUAUCAUAUGUUAGUUAGAGCGGAUUAUGCUCGACUAUGUACCUGAGUUUAAGUAAAUAAGAAAAGCUACAACAAACACUACAAAAGAAGUGGAGUGGGAUACUCAAUGGAGAAACAUUAUCCUCAUUAAUUACCUACGCUUUUGAAUUGAAAUAUCGAGAUCUAGUUGUAGAGAAGUUUUUCAAUCUGCGGGAACAUGAUCAGGCACAUUAAGAUACAAUUGGUUGAAUUUUUUUUUUUAAAGUUUUCAACCAAUUGUAUUAUUACACUUAAUACGUGCAGAGUCGUGUUCUCAUCACACAAAAUCUCUUCUAGUUGUACCAUCUUUUUAUAAUACCAAGUCUCAAGGCCUCCUCGCUAGUGAAGCCAUAAGGCAGUCCUACCACAACAUCUUGAAUCAUUGACUUUUUGACACUUGAUAUGCUCGCAUGGUAAACUUGUAACUCAAGUCCUUUGAGUGCAUUCAUCAAUCUAGCAUAAGGGUAGUCUUGAUCCGGACACUGAACUCGAAUCAUGGCUUGAUUUGAUCCCACAAUCUUCACAUCCACUUCCAAAACAUUAGUUCCUCUAACCUUAUCGUUAUUAUUAUUCAAAUUUAAAUUAUCAUUAUUAUUGUUGUGGUUGUUGUUGUUACUAUAAUUAUUACUACAACUUGAACAUUGAUGAUGUUCAUCAGUUAUGGAUCUGGUGCUUUGGCUAGUGAGUAGGGGUUUUUGUGGUGGUUGUGCUUGGAUUUUGGCCUCCAGUUCGUCAACCUUACCUUUGAGCUGGUUCAUGUACGCCACGGCAUCAGCGAGCAAAGAGGACCUGUCCAUUUCCGACACGUUGGGAACAAUAGAACGAAGGAGACAUAUUCGAUGGUUGAGCUUAUCCCUCCUUUGUUUUUCUGCCUCAACAUGGUUCAGUAGUUGUGAUUCUCUACUUGUAGCUCCAUGGUUUGAAGAUGAUGAUCUUCCCCUCUUUUUUGAUUGAGGGUUCUCUGUAUUCGCAGGGGUGAAAUUGCCAAAAGAGUCAUAAGAUGAGCCUGUUGAUGACCCGUCUGUAUGGAUAAUGGGUUCAUUUGCACCACCUUCUGGUAAAAAAAUAAUAAAAUAUUGGUGUUAACAAAAAAAUUAGGGUUUGAAUAAAGAAUCCUGUGAAUGUUUAGGGUUUAAGGUUUCAAGAACAAAGACUUACCACAACCAAAGUAAAUAACAGUAGUAAUAAUAAUGCUUUUAUUUAAAGAUGACAAUCUAAUUUCCUACUGAUAAAUUUUAUCAAUACAGAAAAGAUUAUUCGGUACAAAUAACUAGUUGACCAUAUCAUUGCGAAUAUUCUUCUUAGAUUCUAACCAUGUUGCAUGUCCGACUAUUCAAUUUAUCAACAAAUCGACACUUUAUCAAUUAUAAAAAAUGUCGUUCAUAUCAUUAAUAAACAUCGAUACUUAAAUUACAUAUUGUCGACCAGCUGGCUAGCCUUUGGUACCAAGUAAAAAACCACACUUUUUAAUUUAAUAUAAUUUAAAAGAAUUAUUAUUAACACUCAAAAAUGUCAUCAUGCAUUUACAAAGUUAUAAAAUCACAAAGAAAAAUUUAAUUAAAAAAAAAGUGCAUAAUGACAUAUUUUUAGAGAGGCGCACCCGAAAUCUAUGUAAAUAAUUGGUGGUUAUUACCUUGUAUGGUGAAUUCUUUUUGACCUCCUGAAAGAAAUCCAAUCUUUUCUAGGGGAUCAGGAACUAGUAAUUUAAAUUUGUUGUUCUUCUGGUCGGAUCCAAAGAGUGAUUUUGAUAGGUGCACGAGACCCCAAUCUUGCAUGAUUACAUCCAAAGAAGCCAGUUCAAGUACCCCACAUGAAGUAGUAAUACAAACCAAAGUUUGAAUCCCAUGCAUUCUUGCUUCCUUCACUCUCUCACACUCGUACAACUGAAGCUCAUGGCCACCUGCAAGCCAAACAAAACCACCAGAACAAAAUGCACGUCCCAGAAUAUUUUUACUCGCUUGGCCUGCAGCAAAAGAUUGGGUUAACGAAACGCCGUAAAAGUAAAACCGGUCGGAGUCAUGAGUAGCAUCGCCAGUGCCGUCAUGAUUGUCGGCCAGCAGCCGCAUGUCCAAGUCCACCACGUCUUCAUCUCUCUUGCUAAUUAUCGCCGUCUUCUUUUUCUCCAUAUUGCUGAACCCUAAUUUGGGUUGGUAGUUAUUGGUGAUCACUCUGUUGCUUCUGUUGGAUGGCACGCGAACCCUAGGGUUGUUUAAAUGGCCACCAGCCCAUGAUAACGCAACUUGGUCACUGAUGCUGUCUUUGGAGGCUUGCCAGAAAAUUGCAUAGAGCCAGCAUUCAGGCCUGUUCUGAACUAUGAACUGCACACGACGUUGAAAUGUGGGUGAGGAAGUGGGUGAACAACAAAAGGAUGUAAGUUCUUCCAUUUUUUGAAUAGUUUUUGGACCAACUGAAUCUUUUAUGUAGGCAAAAGCAAGUCAGGUGCGGAAGCAGAAAUUGAGUACGGGAGGUGCGCGCCUCUCAUCGGUCGGGGUUGGGACCUGUGAAUUGUGUGAUUAGUUCCUUAGUUUUUAUUGGUAUUUACAAAGGGCCAGCUCCUAUCAUGUGAAUUGUGUGAUUUGCUUUUAUCAUGUGAAUUGUAUGGUUAGGUUUUAUUGGAGUUUAUAAAGGUUCACCUUCUAUCACGUGGUUGAACUAGAGAUUAUAUUUUUGAGAAAGGAUGGACCCACACACAUCUAUUUUUAUUUUUCACACAUCUCUUUUACUUUUCAAUCAUCAAUUCGAAUGAAUUGAGGAAUAUCAAUAGAAAAAAAUUAACAAAAAUGUGUAUAAAGUAGAAAGGAGUCUGUGAAAUUCACUUGGGUAAUUAAUGUUAGGGAUACUAAAUUUUAUAAAUUAAAUGACAUAAAAGUUGAUUAUUGGAUUAUUACUUAAGUGUUGAUUAACAUAUUUAUUUCUUAUUGUGACACAUCAUUUAGUUUACAGAGCAUCUCUAAUUGAAAUGUCAAAAUUUUAUUUGAAGGCUGAAGUCAGCAUUUUGGAGUGUUAAAUUAUUGUUUUAUUAUAUAUUGGUCCCACUAUAAGAAUAAAUUUUUAGUUGUGACGGUAACACGGAUGGUAUAUCACGUGUUUUCAUGCAAAUAGUGAAAUUUUUUAAUUUUUAAGUUAUUAACCUUUUAACAUACAUAACCCACCAUUUAUAUAAGGACACAUGGUAUACUAAUUCGUGUGAUGGUUACAUUCAAAAAAUCUCUUUGCUACAACCGCUGUUAAGAAAAUAAUAAUAAUAAUUUAAAAUAGAUAAAAGUUGUAACCUAUUUGUGAAUGAUCGGACACCCACAUUAAAUAAUAAAACUGACUCCAUCUUUGUUUGUUGUUAAAAAAGACUGCUAUAAAACAAUGAGCCAAAUGACCUAGUUGCCAUGUCAAUUAUGGCAUCUUCAUUAGAGAAAAGCUGAUGUAUUUUAGUCUUAGUUAGCAAUGACGUAGCCAGAAAUUAUUCUGUGAGUGGAUUAAGCUAAAAUUAUUUCUACGAACUCAAAUUUUUAAUCUUUUGUUGCCUAUAUAAUGUUAUAUAAUAGUAAACUUGAAAGUAAUAAUUUGAAGCAAGAAAUUUAUACUAUGUUUUCUAGGCUUCUAGCCUUCAAAAUUUUUAAGUGAAUAAAAUAAGAAACCAUUUGUGUCAUGGAAGUUUUAAUUUAUUACUAUUUAAAUUAUAAUAUUGGUUAAAGUGAUGAGUUUAUUUAAAAUUUGUUAGCUCUUAUUUUCCUUAAAAGCACCUUAAGAUUCAAAAUUUUCAUUUGCUAAGUGGAAUAUGAUAAUUAAAAAUCGUAAAAUAGCCAAAAAUUAAUAUUUUUAAGCACAAUGAAUGAAAACUCUCGCUAUGCUAUAGGAAAACCUUGUACUUGGCACCGCCAGUGUUGGUGGAUUUGACAUCUCGACGGAGAGAGCCAUUGUUGGUGGUAGAUUAGAAUAGUUUCCACUGCGAUAGUGGUAUUUCAUGCACUUUGAGAAAAUAGUGGUCGAUUAGAGUAGUUUCCGGAAACAAAAACCAUUAGAAAGGUGGUAGUGAUCAAGAGGUCCUCCAAUAUAAUAAUCAUCUACAUAGAUUGUAUGCAUUGUAGGACAUGCUUUUAAAGUUCUAACAUUCUAUUCAGGAUUCUUCUUUUCUACAAACAUUGAAAAUUUUAUUGAAAAUCUUCUCCAAAAACCACUUAUUUGAGCCAAAAUACGUUAAGUUUUUUUACCAUAACUCAUAAACAAUCAGAAAUGUUUUUGCUAUUAUAAGCUGCUUUUAUCAUUUUAAAAGCAAUGUCAAAACUUCUAAAAGCACUUGUAUGAACCCAAAAUGCGACUAUAGAAGUGCCGUAGCCUAGGCCUUGUUUCAGUAGACCGGAUUGGAUAAGAUAAGCCUGAUUAAAUUGGACAUGAUUCAUGUCUGUUUUUUGGUGGGUUUAAAUCCAAAAUUAGUGGGAUUUAAAUCCAACCUUUAGACAUAUACAGGUGCCAAGCCGAUGUAAAUCAGUCCAAUCCAAUACCAAAUCUCGGUCUAAGGUGACUUGUUCUGACUUCGAAAAAUAUUUGUAAAGUGCUUAUGAUUCGUAAAAGUACUUUCUAAUGCUUUAUAGAGGUUACGCUUGAACUGUUAGUAAAAAUGUGAAAAAAAAACUACAACAUAAAAUUGUAAAACAUGUGACAUCGUAAAAUUUCGGUACCUAUUUAUACCAGCUUCCCACAGAUUUUUGUUGUUGUCCAAAGUGAUCGUAUUGAAAAGCCGAACAGGGCCAGCAAGCACAAGAAAGGGUACAACAUGCCCAAAUGAAAAGAAAAGGAGAGAGAGAAGUCGAUACACUCUAGACAACUUGCAACACGUCCAUUUACGCAACACGCCCAGAUGAAUUAAUAAGCAACCAAAAAUUUUUGGUACUCCAAACGUUUUAACUGUUAAAUCUUUAUUUUUGUAUUUUUCAAACAAAAAUUUAACGGCUAAAACAUUUGAAUCCGAAGUACAGACAAUCCUAAGCACCCCCUUCCAUCUUCUCUUUCACCAACAAGAACAGACGCAUAUACCUCCACCACCCAUCUCCCUCCCCUUUCUUCCCAAGGCCAUGGAAACUCUGCUGCCUCCACGCAUCCUCAUUGAAAUUUGAACUCCAUAAACGCCCAAGUUUUUGUCGGCUAAUUCACAAACCGACACUUGUACAUUUAUGUCAAGAACAAGCAUACUGCAAGUUUUAAGAACACCGUUCAAGACAAUACUAUUAAUAUAUAAGUAAGUUUUGAAUAAAUCAAUAUUUACAUGUCUAGUGUUUGAGAAGGUAAAUGAGCAACACAUUACAAUGAUCAAAAGAUUAAAUGCUCAUUAUUCGAAAUAUUUAGAUAGACUAUGAACAUGUUACAGAAUCUAGAUUUUCCUACUUCACUGUUUCUAGCUCAUCUUCAUCUUCAUUAUGUUGAGGUUUACGGUUUCAGCUAGUUCCUACAAAUUUUGAAAAAAAAAAGAGUUGUUAGUGCGGACAUAUAAGUAAAAUUGAGAUAGAGUUCAUUUGUGAUCCUAAAGGUGCAAAUGAAAUUUUUGAUUCCCUCUAUUUUCAUCUGUUCUAUUAGAUGCAAUAAGACUAAAAUGAGUGCAUUCAAACCAACCCAUUUUUCGAACUUCCAUCAUAUAUCAAAUAUAUCUCAGCGAUACUAAUUAGACAGAGUCGGGAAUGUAGAAAUUAAAAUAUCAAAGAAGGUAUAUAAUCAUUACGACGAUGAUGUAAUAAUCUGCUGUGAUUAAUUUGACAAAGAGACUGUUUUUCACUGCUUUAUCAUAUACAAUGUGUGAUAAAAUGAGUGCAUUUAAAUUAGAAAGAGUUGGGUUAGACAUCAUUGGACAAAGAAAAGGUCUUUACAGAAACAAAAAUGAAGAACUGCUUUAUAAUUGGACAAAGAAAGAGGAAGAUAAGAAGAAACAAAGAAAAUGUCUGAAAAUUUUGGCAAAGACAUUUUCAGCAAGUGAAAGAAAAACAGAGGCAUUUCUAAACAGAAAGUUAAUAUCAAUAUGAAGUGAAAAGAAAAUAAUGCAUGAGCAAGGGGAAAAAAAUCAUAGACCUGAGCAGCGAUAUAGAAUUCAUACAAAUGCAAUAUUUUCCUUUCAAAUGAAAACCAGUAGGAAAAUAAAAAACCAAAUGAAAGGGCAUGGCAGAAAAAAUUGAGGGGGAAAAUAGAUUAAAAAAAGUAAUUAAAAAAACAAAGAGGGCGAAUGACGUUGUCCAAUGUACUUAAUUUCUCUUAAGUAUAAAGACAACUGUAUACACUUCUUGACCAAAUGAGAUAACAUCAAAUUCGAAUGAACUAAUAGAGGCAUUAAUCAUAACUUGGGCAUUCAUAGUUAUCAUUCUAAAUUUGAUGACAUACUGUAAAGUAACAGUUUAUUUCCAUUGGAUAAUUUGAUUUCCCAAAUUCAAAAAAAUGAAAAAAUAAAUAAAAAUACUAAACAUUAUUAAACAUCAUCACAACAUCCCGUCAGUCAAGAAUCAAAUCCAAAAGUAGAAUUGGGUAAACAAAUGAGAGAUUAGAAAAAUACCUAAAAAAUGAUGACCUUGAUAGCUAAUGACUCCACAAAUAGAACCCAAAAGAAAAUAGUCAGCCUAACUAAGAGGAAAAUUAUCGAACAAAACAAACAAAAAAAGAGAAUCCAAAAGAAAUUGCAGAAAAAAAAUUCUUAGCAUAAAGAAACCCACUCGGUCAUUUAGUAGAACAAUAUGAAGCAUUGAUUCAAAGAUGCAUCUGUUAGGGUCAUACGAUGUCCUAGAAGAUGGUGAACUGAAGAACCAAAUUGUCUUAUAGCAUGCUUCUCAAUUGUUUUAAAAUGGAUUGGAUUACUAUAUUUUAGCAAUUGGCACUUUAAGAUAAGACAAUUGUAUUUAAAAAUAAAUGAUCAGAUACACACAUUACUGUGUGAAGAAGACUGAGACUUUUGCUAAACACACAUAUUGGUAAAAAAAAUAAACACAAAAUGCUUGUACACGUUAUUUCUUCGUUGUUUCAUUGUAGGUGAGAAUAUUAUGAGAUCAAUAGAUGACAUAAUUAAAGGAACCCAAUUCAACGCUUAAACCUAGCUUAUCACUGCGUUGAAAUGACAAAGAAAAUGCAUAUUAUAUCCAUGCUUUCGAUCAUUCAUUAGAUAGAUGUGUUUGAAUGCCAUUGAUGCCAAUGAUAGAGUUCAUUACUCUGCACAUACAAAUUGUUCAACAAAUUAAAGCAUCUAAGUGCAUUAAAAGAAGAUAUAUCUAUAUCUAAAGAGGAAGGCUUAUCAUGAGCUUCAGGAAUCUGUAAAAGAAAGGUAAGCAUAUGAAUUCCCAAAAUAAAAUUGAAAUCGAAAUUCCUAUAUCUAAAAGAAGUUGAAGAUAAAUUAAGAUUAGGUUAUAAAUUGAAAAUAUAUUAAGAGGAACUCUUCAAAGUGUGACUUCUGCUGCAAUAUUUUGAUAUAAAACAAAACCGCCAUAAUCAGAUUAAUAAGGGUUUUUUUACAUAGUUUCAUGUACUUCAAAAGAUAUAUGAUGUAAAUUAUACUUGAGUAUUAUCACUGUAUAAAAAAAAUACUAGACAGAUAUAUCACAUUUAAGUUUAAGUAUGCUGAUUACGAAAAUACGUUAAAUGGUUCUUCAAAUUAUCAUUGUUUACAUCAAGAAAUUAAUGAUAUAUCCUUUGUUUAUAUAAUAUAUCUUUGUUUAUAUAAUAUAUGUAUCUUUGAUUAUAAAACCAAUAGAACUUUUUACUAUUGAUCUUAACAUUAAUAGAACAGAUAAGAGUUAAUGAAAUAGAGCUAAGCUACUUCACCUCUUCCAUAAGUCCACAUCUCCACCCAAGCCUAGACAUCUCGACAUUGCCCAUAUAGGUGUUCUGUCCUGACUUGCAAGAUUUACAAAGAAUUGGAAAAUUGAAAGAGGUUUAAGCAUGAACAGAUUGUAAACGAAGAACUUUAUAGCACCAAAUUGGGUUGCAAGCAAGCACCAACCAUCAUUAAUAAAAAGUGGGUACACAAAAUUGGCAAGAGAUAAAGUUGUUUCAUGAAACGCAGCUAUGAGCGACGGCGAUCUUCGUUUCCGGCAAGGAAAUGUUACAUGAUCUCAAAUCACCUUCAAUUGGUAAUUAUGUAAAUAAACAGUUACGUGAAAAUUCACAUAUAUAUAUAUAUAUUUUUUUUUUUUUUUGGGAACCAAUUAAGUGCAACAAAAUCAAGAAGUGAGUUGGGAAAAGCAUACCUUUACAAAGCAAAAAUCUUUUGAUAUUCCACGACUUUCUUCUUCUUCUUCCUUUUGAGUAUCUUCUGAUUCAAGGAUGGCAGCGCUGCAGCACUCAUCAAGCACACCUAUUUCAGUAACCCCAAAUCAGUUUAAAUAUUUUUAAUGUUUAAAUACAAAAUUGGGCAUAAUAAAAACUGAACCAAAAGUCUUAAUUGCUUACCCAAGUGAGAAAGGAUUUUGGAAAACGGCGCGAGGCGGCUGCGACGUCCGGACUUGGCCUGAAAUUAGUUAAUUACCCAGAUGAAAAAAGAAAUAAAGAGUGAAUUAGAAGAUUUAUCAGAGAGCUUACCUCUGCAGUUGUUGCCAACUUGAACAAAUCAAGCUUCUGUAGCAGUCUAUAGAUCACAAAGCUGAGAGAUGAGGUCUGCUUGAACUGGUGGCAGCGGUGAUUGAAACUGGAAAAGGAUGUGAAAAUCAUUUCAAUCAUUUUCCACCGCACUUUCCCUGUAUUCCAUCACCAAAAUGUUCAUUUUUAUUGAUUUCAACUAAAAUUUUAAAAUAAAAAUAAAAUUUUAAAAAAUAAAAACUUCAACUGAAAUGUAUAGAUUAUCUUCAAUCAUUUGUGACCAUAUAGAGGUAUUGAAGGAAUGCUACAGAUGAAAGCUCAUAUGCAUUCUAUAAACAACAUAAAUUCACUUGGAAUUUACUGUUAAGCCAAUCUACUAAGAAAUUGGAACUUAUUUUAUAAAGAAGGACGGGAAUCGAUGGACGACAUAAGAAGGAUGGGGUUGGGGGUGCAAGCACAUAGGAGAAAGAUCAAAGGAGGGGAUGGGGUAGGGCCGGUUGAGCAGCCAUUGCAGGCAAGGGGAGGAAGAAGGUAAUUGUUUGGCUGUGAAUUGAAAGUUAAGAGUAUUUGAUAGCUCAUUUGGAAAUCCUUUUAAAAUGGUUGAAAAUAUUUUUGAAACCAAUUCUUGUAGUGAAUCUUGAAAUACACACGAAAUGCUUUCAGAACUCAAAAUAUUUUCUCUAAAGCGCUUUCAAUCAUUUUUAAACACCUCCAAACAAAUGUAAGCUAGUACGGGUUUUGAAAUAGACUUUGAACAACAAAUGUAAUAUUAUUAGACCACAGAGUCAGUGUAAGGUUUUAAAAUAUAGGAGAUAUUUUACCACACAUUGGUAACAGACUAAUCCACUUCUCAUUGCACUCUGGUAUCGUAUGUACUAGUAGCGCACAUUUGGUCCCUAAACUAAGGCCUAGUUUAGCAUUGCUUUUUUUUCACCAAAAACUACUUCACUUUACAGUUAUGCAGUAAAAAAAUAUUUGGUAAAAAUAAAAUAUAUUGCUUAUUUUAAAAGUCAUGACCUCUAGGCAGCAGCUUUUAAAAGCAGCUUGUAGGUUUCUUUUAAAAGCAGCUUGUAGGUUUCUUUUAAAAGCUGCUUUAAUAAAAAGUAGAGUUGAGUCCUUAUAAUAUUUUUUAUUCCUGUAAUAAUCUCAUUAAUUUUAAACAAUAACAUUAUUUAUCCUCCUGGACACUUCUUUUAUAUUGCUUUUCAUACCCACAACAGUUUUAAAAGUACAAUUUAUCAAACAUUCAAAUAUUUUAUUUUAUAACUGAUUAUUCUUAAAAUACAGCAACCCCAAAUUGGUCAUAAAUGUUACGUUAAAACAGAGUUUGUGACUUCAAAAAAUGCAUUCGUGCUCCAACUCUUUCUUCGCUUUCUUUUUAAUGUCACAAAAUCAAUAUACUUGAGUAUUAAUUAAUUAAUACCAAAUGCUGCGUCCCAACGGACAUCAAGCCGGCGCGCGACGGCGCGAGGUUCCUGACCGUUGAUCAGUUUUCAAUUUGACCGCCAAAUCAUCAGUCCGUACACUUUUAAAUCAACGGCACGCGUGUCUAUCAUUGGAUCCGAGUCACGUGCGACGCUCCACCUGCUUCCCUCUCAUUGAUUCGCCCUUGGUCGACCCUCUGUUACCCGAUCAUGACGCCGACGGAACUCCAACUUCCCCAAAAAUCUCCCUACAAAAAUACCUCUGAUUGCUUCCUCCGAAAUCCUCAAUUCCGCCAGAUGCUCCUACCCCUAGCUCCUCCGACUCCAUCGUGUCCGCGCCAAAACUGCAGAUCCCUGAGAUUUUGAGGUGACAACUUUUACUUCGAUUUCGAGCUCCGAUUUCAUGAUUUUUUUCGAUUUAAUUCUGUAUGGGAUGUGAUAACUGCGAUUAGAUUAGCUAUUGUAGAAAUUCACACCGAGUAUUAGUGUUUGGAUGGUCAGAAAAUGAGAGAGAAGGAAAAAUACUGAUUCUCUAUCACUGAAAUUACUGAACUGAUUUCUGAUUUGAGUAAUUCCACCCGGUUUUUGUUCCGAAUUUUCUAAAUACACCCAACCCACCAUCCGAUUGCAGGUGGUUUUCCACCCAAUGGGGGACGCAUCGCGUAGACCAGAGGCCAAUGUAGUUAUGAAUGGAAAGACGAAGUCGCAGAAUCAUAUAGUUGCUUCUCGCCCCAAGGGCUCUCUGCAGGAUGUAGGGUCGCUUCGAAUUGGGAGUGGCGUGGUGAGCCAGGCAGCUUUGUUUCUGCUCAAAAUGGCUGCAUUGGAGACAGUAAGGCGGUUCUCAAGGGCCAAGUGCCCGUGGGCAUGGCGUGGCUUCCAGGCUUUGCAAUUUCUGUGUUACCCUCCGUUCAAGUGGUUUCGAAGAUUUGCGCCCUUCAAGGCUUUGGUCAAUGGCAUGCAGGUUUGGUCAUAUAAAUUCUCAACCUUUGGUAAAUUGUAACCAUAUUUUAGUCAGACUCAUAUGGAUGUAUAUACGUUACUUAUACACUACUCAACUCCCUUCUGACGGGGAACGGAAAGGCAAACAAAAAUAAGAAGCCAGCAAUGGUCUUAUAGGAUUCCCACGUCUUUGCAUUCUUGCUUUUUUGGGUAUUUGGAUGUAAUUUGAUUGCCUAAACUUCUAGACAUGUAUCAAUAUGAGGGAGAUUUGAUGAUGAACUUUUUUUUGCUUACAGGUAGUUUCAAAACCAUUACUAGUGCUUUCCAUUGCAACAGUGUUCUCUGAUGAAGCGGAGUUCUUUAAUAGAACCUCAGAUGGCAUUAACAAUUCUGAUGCAUGUUCAGAAGUGCAGUCGGAAGUAUUGUCUGAGUGCAUUAACGAUUCUACUUUGGAUACAAGGUAUUAAGAGAAAUGAGGUUUUUGUUGUUGGCAUCUGAUGCAUUAUGUGACACACCUCAUCAAUUCAUUUAUAUGAGUAUACUAUAAUAUGACAUUUUCGAUAAUACAAGGUCAAGUUUUCCUCAUAGCAUUUAGUUCCGUAACAUCUUCUAGCUUUUGGUCAGUUGGAUUUGUGGAUAUUAAAAUUGUGUUUUCUGAAAAAAAUUUUGUUUUCUAAAUAAUUUGUCAUCUGAAAUGCCCAAAAGCAAUGGCAGUUGUUCACAUUAUUACUGAUUUGUUUUUAUCAUGAGUUGUCUCUAGGACCUAAUUUUACAGCUUUUAUGUAAUGUGCAGGGUUCCUGAUCAAUUUCCUCAAAAUGUAGAACCUGAAAUGUGGUUGGUAGAACUCCAUGAAGAGCUUGAAAGACAAGGGAUUAGCUUGCCAGAAAGGUGAUUGGAUGAUUUCGUGUAGUCCAACUGUGCAUAUAACACUUACUAAUAUUCAAAUUUAAAAUAUGAUAAUAAUAUUUUUUACUUGUUUUUGUUAUCUUUCUCUUAAUAGUUUGUUAAUAGUCAAACUGUACAUAUGAUGUUUGUUCGCCUCUAAAAUAUUUUUUUGUAUGUCUUUUUACGUAUUUGGCUUUAUGCUUAAAUUAAACGGUGGGGUAGGGUUCAGGUUGGUCGAAGUUAUAAUAUUCAAAAUUUCAAAUUUAAAUAUGAUUAGAAUGUAUUUGCUUGAUUUUAUUAUCUUUCUUUCUUGGAAUAGUUUGUCAAUACUAAAACUGUGCGUAUGACAUUUGUAUGCCUCUAGAAUAUCUUUUUGUAUGUCUUUUUACGUCUGUGGCAUGAUGCUCAAAUUAAACGUCUGGUAUCAUUUCCAUAUUUUUAUGGAUUUAUCUUACUCUUUGUUGUCUUGUAAAUGAGUUGUAUCCACCAGUGUCAGUAUCUUUUGUCCAUUGCAAUGCCUAUCAGAAAAUGUAACUGAAAAAAAAAACUGUUAUAAGUACUUCCAAGUUGAAUUAUCCUCCGCUUCUUGGUAUCCUAUGCUUACUGCUUUGUAAAACACUGAAAGUACAAAGUUUAUAAUGUGAAAUUUAUUACUUUGUGUACUUCCUAUCAUCUAGACAAUAAUAUUGAGACUAUGAGAUAGAGGCUCAGGGCAAAAGGGGUAGAGCAAGACCUAGGAAGACUUUGAAAAAGACUGUAAGAAAAGGUAUGGAGUACUUGGAGCUAACGGAAGACUUGGCACAAAACGGAGCGCAAUAGCGUUCUAGAACUCAUACAGCUGACCCCACUCAGUGGGAUAAGGCUUGGUUGUUGUUGUUUUAAUUUUUAAGGCUUGGUUGUUGGUGCGAUGGCAAGUGCCUUCGCCCAUGAGCGGUAGGUCUCGGGUUCGAGACUUGGGAGCAGCCUCUCCAUAAAUGGGGGUAAGGCUAGCCGACAUUCACCUCUCCCAGACCCUGCGUAAAGCGGGAGCCUUGUGCACUGGGUAUGACCUUUAUUGUGUUAUUGUUUCAUUCCUUUCCCUUGGUGGCAAAACUUUUCCUGCAGCCCUUUGUGAAUGUUGUUUUCAACGUUCCUCUCAAGAAACACCUAACCUUUUUGUACUGUUCUACAAGGUCUCUCCUAAUAUUUUCUUCUACAUGCCUAUAUGUAUGAACUUCUUUGCUUUUUGUUGCAGCGGACCAUGACAUGCUAAUGUUUAUGCAGAAUUGAUGAGGAGGAACUUCGUAGGUUUUACACUGCUGCAAAUGGAGACUUUUCUCGCUUGCUAUCAUCAGUAAAGAAGACAAUCCAUUGGAGGGAGACUUACGGAAUUCUUUCAAUACAGGAGCUUGAGAUGUGGUCAAAUAUGGUUUUCUGGCAUGGAUUUGAUGUUAAGCACCGACCUUGCCUCAUAGUGCGACUUGGGCUAGCUUGCACUAGCUUGCUAUCUCAUGAUAGACCUCGCUUUGCUCAAGCUAUCAGUAUGUUCAUUUGGUCCCUCUGUUACUUUUCUUUGUUUCUAUCCAUACAACCUCUAGACUCUAGAGCCACUCCUAUUUCUGUAAGAUGGAUGUGACCAGAUCUACUACGACUCACUCUUGUUCAACUCUCGGUUUAUUGGAGUCUAUCUUAUUUUUCAAUUAGUUUUUCUUCUCUUUUAAAGGUGAAGCAUCCUACCGAGAAUAAAAAAACUGAAUGCAUACAUAAAUAUCUGUUUCCAUUCAGCCAAUACUAGUAAAUUCCUGCCUUGCCCAUUCUUGUGAAUCGGUGAUUUGCAUUAAGAAAAGGCCUGUUUGUUUGUUCAAUUAGUGAACUGUAAGGCUUGAUUUUUGCAAAUAAGUAGCAUUAUUUACUUUAGCUAGCACUAAAUUAGAAUUUUCUAGUGUUUUGGUCAUGCUUGAUUAGUUAUUUCGGGUUCAUCAAGUGUGCAAUCCUCAAAUUCUUUGGAGACAACGAGGAAGUCAAUUUCUCAAUGUUGAUAUGGUUUAAAUGGUUGUAAGUAGUUUAUUUUCUUUCCUGUCGUGAAGAAUAUAACAUUGUUUUUGCACAUACAGAUUUUUGCAUGCAUUAGAUCACUCUUACAUGAGAUGUUCUGACAGCAAUCAAUGAUUGUAACUGCAGUUUCCCAAGUAGAGCAUGGAGUCUAUCAUUUGCUUGAUGCCACCAAUGCUCAAAUUACAGUUGUAGUAGAUUGUGAAGGUCUAUCUCCAUUGAAAAUUCCCAUGCAAGUUAUGAGGACUUGUUCUUCUCUUUUGCAAGAUCACUUCCCCAACCGUCUUGGCUGUCUGUUUGUUAUUCGGCUUCCUCCAAUGCUUCGUGUUAUUGCUCAAACCUUUAUUCAAGUAAGUCUAUUACACUCUGAUCUAGUCAUGAUUUUAAUAGUUUCAAAUUGGGCACUCAAUUGCAUCAGCAAUGCUUUUUUUCAUAAACAUGCACAUGUGUUGCCUUGUCAGGUUUUGAAACCUUAUACCCGAGAGAAGUUGAGAAUUGAAGGUGAGAGUUACCGGAAGAUUCUCUCUGAGUACCUUGAGGCACUUCCAUUAUAUCUUGGUGGCAAAUGCCAGUGCAAAAUAUGUACAGAUAUGUGGCACCCUCGCACAAAUGAAGUUAUCAAGACAGAGCUGAGAGAAGAUUUGCACGAGGGUCGGAAUCCACUUCCAGCCCAUCCAACUUAUGAGAAUGAGGUUGACAUGGAAGAUAACUGGGAUCAGUUGGUGAGGACUGCCAUAUUUGGUCUCGUUAUGGUAUGGGUUUUCAUAGCAUUCCUUUCUUUAUUCUUUGACCCCGAAAGCCGUCCCUUUCCCUUUUCUCCUAAGUGAGGUAAGACCAAAAGAGUGGACAAGCUUCUUUUUCUCCUCUAUUUUCUUGGCACUUAGUUCUUCUCCAAAGUGUGUAUGCUAUAAGUUUUCCAUGUCAUAUAUUAGUUCUUCUCCAUGUUGGUGUGGAGCUAACGGAAGACUUGGCACAAAAGCGUACAUAAUGACGUUCUAGGAUUCAUAUAACUGAUCCCACUUAGUGAGAUAAGGCUUGGUUGUUGUUUAUCGUUGAGGGUCAACUUGCAUUAAUGUUCUUGUAGUCUUACCUGGAUUUUCACCUCUCCCUAUAUUUUUUUUUCUUGCAUUUUUCGUGCUUGUAGUUUCGUUUAGUUCAAUCCGUCAACUAAGUUGAUUGUUCCAUCCGGUUUUUUGCACGUCUUUGCAUUUGAAAACCCCAAUUUUUAUUUGUUUGUUGUUGCUUAAGACUUGAAGCACAUUGUUUAAGAUUAUAAUCUAUUUUCAGUUUUGAUUCUCAUGCUCAAAACUUUCUUAGGAGAGUUUUAAAAUCAAGUUAGAGUUGUCAUGCAUGUUUUUUUUAUUCAUUUUUAGAUACCCUUGGAAUGUCAUAUGAUGGUCAUUUUAGUGUUUCUUUGCAAAAUUGUACUUCUCUAUUUUCUUCACUACAAAUGAAUGUCUUAAUGAUUUUGAAUUUGUCUAAUUUUUUUGCAAAUAUAAUCUAUAAAUGAUGAAUUAAAAUAUAGACAGUUCAGAUCCUUAAAAAAUAAAAUUACAAAACAAGCCCUACAAAAAUGGGUGUUAAAAUAUGUGUCAAAAAUAGGUCUCCCUGGAUUGUAAUCCAUAGGUUUUUAUGUCGUCGUACAAGUCAUCUAAAAUUGUUGCACACACAAUGAGAAGGAUAAUCAUGAACUAAUAAAAUUAAAAACCGGUGGUGGUAAAGAGCGAAUUACGAGUCUUCCUUUAAACUAAAAACUAAAGGUAUUGGGUUUGAAACAUGUUGCUGGUGUGGAAGUUAGACUUGUGGUUAGGAAGAGGUUGAAAUGUUUUUGUAAGUCUUCUCGACCCCUGAAAGAAGUGGAUAACCGUAGAUCCGUGGCAUGUCAUCAGUUAUCAAAGUUCAACUAUUACAGACUACGGCUUGAAAAUUAUGUGUUACAGUUGGCAAAAGUGAUAAUCCAUCUUUCAAAGAAGAAAAAAUGUGACGUCAGUAAUAUUUGAUUCAUUCAAUCAGCACCACGAAAUAAUACCGUAGUAGAUUUAAUCAUACCUUUCCUUCAAUGAAAAGCAGCUGGUCAGUAGUUAAUGGGUGCUUCUGUGGGAACCCUUCUUUGUACUAUACGAGCACGUCCUUUGUCACCCUCCUCCAACUGCGCUUACGGCUCUACCCCAAUUUAACUUGCUCUGGACCCCGGUCUUUCCCUUUCAUUAAUUCCGUUACCUAAGCCUUGUUUUCUUGUAAGUAUUUUUUAGUAAUAGCAGCAAUUUUAAUAAUUAACAGAUGUCCUCGUUGGCCACAUUCAAGUUUCGACUUUUCUCACUAAAUAAGCCUAUCAAUCCUCAAAAAAUUUUAAGGCAUCAAAUACCUUAUUGUUCCAAGCUUUAAAAUUCCCAAAUUAUGUAUCAUUCGAUGGACUAGUUAGGGUGCCAACGGAAUGAAACUACAAGGUAAAAAAGAAAGUUGGAGUAAACUACAAGGACUAUUAGGGCAAUUUUAGCCUAUUUUUAAGACUAAAGAGUGCAUUUUUUUUCUUGUUUUUGCUUCUUCCCUGUUGAAGUGCUAUUUCUUGUUUAGCACUGAUGUUCUUGAAUCUUGGCUGAAGUGUCGUUGAAUAGGGUUCCGAAAAGAAGCCGAACCAGUACGUAUAAUCAAACUGCGAUUGCAUAAUUUGCAUCCUGUUAAAUGUUGGUGUUUGUUAAUUCAUCGUAAGGAUCCGAUCAGCAGACUAUAUCCCCCUUUGUGAGGGGGCACCCCUUCUCCCGAAGUUAUUGGGCUAUUUUCCCGAGUUCCUUAGAGAGAGUUAACAUACAAAGCAAAGAAUUUACUUGUUACUAAUAUAGCCUAGCCUCUGUUCUUCUUUAGAUUCCUUGUUUCACUCCGAUAGUAUCAUAAAUAGAACUUUAUUUUAUGGAUAAAGGAUCUAAUUGAUAAAAGAAGCACCGUAAAAGAUCAAUUCGCGAGGUUUUGGUCCGAUACAAUAAGAACUGCUUGCUUAUGUCAUGAUAUGAGAUAACAGUUAGGAAUCCACUUAUGUAAUAGAGUUGAUCCCCUAAGGUAUUAAGUAGCGGUAAGAAAGAAGAACUCAUCUUCUUUCUUUUUUUAUUACCUUCCUCGCUUAUGUAUAAGACCGAAUCCAUUUGAUUUCUAAAAAGGAUUACUAAUCCUUUAACUUUUUAAAGAAUCCUUGUGGCUGUGAAUGACUCUCAAAAAGGAUCAGCUCGAUCAUUUCCGUUUAAAGUUAUUUUAGGUGACCGAAUAAACAUGCAUACGCUUGAAAUUGAAGAUGACUUUGUUUAUUCCUUUCCAGUUUCCCAUUGCCAUGCUUGGAAAGUUCUGUUUCUUUCCACUUUUUGCAGCAAACCUUGGGACGACGACCUUUCAGAUCCUGAACAGGUGGGAUGGCUAACGUAGGCAAAAAAGGAACUGAUAAAUACAGAACGCAAAUAUUUUUUGGCAUUAUCUUGAUCAUGACAUUCACCUCUCCCAGACUCUGCAUAAAGUGGGAGCCUUGUGUGUUGAACAAAAAGAGUAUACAAGAUAACUCUAAUUAUUCCAAGAAGAAGAAAUAAAGCACACUCUAAAGAAAGCUCACAAAAAACACUAAUUAGCAAAGCUUUUCUUAUUUAGCACUUAGCUUUGUUUUUCCUUUGGAUGAUUUACAAGGCUUGGGGACUUGGGUAUUUAUAGCAAACCAAAUGAAAGCUACUUAAUUAAACUAAGAUUAUUUACUACCACACAAAACACAUUAAUUGCACCUAAUUAUUUUUUCCACACAACCAUACCUAACAUUGCCUAACAUUGCCUAACUUUGACAUUGACUAACAUUGCCUAACAUUGCCUAACUUUAACAUUGAUUCUUAACAUUGUGCACUGGGUACGACAUUUUUUUAUUAUCUUGAUCGUGACCAUAUGCAUGAUCCUUUAUGCUUUUGGAAAAAGCCAUAUUCAUCUAUUAACUUUGGUAAAUGGCCGAUGACCUUGUGGGUGCAUGUAAUGUUAAAAUUAUCUUCGGUCGUUCACGUGCGCUAAAGUGAUUGUGAGCAUGAAACGCAUUAAGCUUGAGUGACUUGGAUCGAUUAACGGCGCACAGUUACUCAUGUAUACACGAACUUACUGAUGUACAGACGUACAGUAUGUGGGCAACUGCACAUAUAGCAUGCAUGAAUUAGAACAUUUUGCAGCUUCAAUGUGCUUCAUCUCUUUCCGAAAAUUAAUUAGGUCACGCAUGGUGUGCAUAAGAAUCUGCAACUUUGCUUUUUUGUCUAAUAAGCUGUAAUAUUAUAUUUCAUAAGAAUGUAUAUUUUGGUCAGCAUUCCCCGCUUCUCAAACGUGACCCUUGCCGCCUGGGAAGGACGAAAAUUAGGAACCAAUGCUGUUCUGAGUGGAAACUAGGGAAACCCCACUUCGAUUCUAUUUUAAUCUUUGUAUAUAGCCACUGUUUGUUAGCUUUAUUCCUCAGAUUUAGUGCUCUGGUUCUUCAAAUUGCAAGACAAAGGAAUUUUCACUGGAUUUGUGGCUGUGGAUUUUUGCUCAAGCCAAAGCAUAUACUCAGUAUUGAACUUUUGUCCUUCAUUAGGAAAUAUUGCAAAGCCAAAGGGAUGGAAAAAAUCAGUUGAAAGCAGUGAAAGAUUAUAAUUACUUAUUCCUAAGCCUGGAAACUUCUAUCAACAAGAGUUAUUUGAUUCACUGACGGAAUAUGAUCUUAUUAUGUGUUUUUGCAUAACUAUAUAUAUUGGUAAUAUGUAAAAGGCGUCUCCAAAGUGUAACGGGACGCGAAGAUUGCACAUUCAUAUUUGAUGGUUGGAGGGAUAAGAUUAUCAUAUCAUCUUAUCAUUAGUCUGAUAAAAACAAUGUUCAGCAUUCUACUCUAUAGUCACAUGCAAUUUUGAAGCUGGUGCACUCAAGAGAGAAAAGAAGACAAACUCUAACCACACGAGUCGGCUCCAGAAUGUAAUGGGACAUGAAGAUUGUACAUUCACAUUUGACGGUUGGAGGAUAAGAUUAUAACAUUAUAUGUCAUCAUCUAGUGUGAUAGAAAAAGCUUUUAGCAUUUCACGAUCUAUAUAUAUUCACAAGCAACUCUGAAAUUGGUGUACACAAAAAAAAAAAAAAAAAACUCUAAAUCACACGAGUCGGCCUCACAACUUGUGUAAUAGUUGAUAGCCUGUAAAUCUCUAAUUAACACUUUCUCCCUCCCUCAAUCAUCCCACCAACCAAACUUCGGUAGCACCAUCGACAUUACUAGUGAACACCUAAUAUUAGCAUCACAUCAACCCAUUCACCAGAUUGGUAGGUCCCCAUUGGAGCCUUUCGCAUAUGGUUCCUAAUACCAAUUUUGCCUUUCCCCUAACAUAUAACUUCAGUCUCUCCCCAAACCUCAACACCAUCAUACUAUAAAUUAAUCCAUCACCAAAACCCCCACAGACAGCUAGGUACGUAGAAGCUUCUAGCUAGUGCAAAACGAAACGAUAUGCCGACUUUUCUUGACCACACCAACCAAGCCCGAGCCAUGUGGCUAACAUGCCUAGCCUCUGCAUUCCGUACAUGUCUUGCUUGCACCAUAGUUGCGCUAACCACCCUCUAUGGCCCGCAAUCUCUCCGACGCCAAGUAACCUUCCCGGCAUUCUCUUAUGUCACAGUCCUUCUCAUAGCUCCUGAUGCAACUCUAGGGCACACACUUUGUGGCUUUCGGCUCGGGCUCUAUGCCACGGCACAAACCAUUGGCCCGGCCAUGUUGAGUCUGUGGCUGAUUGGGCCGGCCCAGCUUUCGACCAGCACGACCGCUGUGGCGGUGGGUCUUGCGGCAUUCGUGGUGGCUCUGCCGGAGUUUACUCACUUGGUGACCAAACGCAUAGCACUUGGGCAGAUUGUGAUUAUGUAUGUCAUAGCUUGCAUAAAUGGGGGCCAUACAGAUGCUAUCAUGCACCCUGUCCAUGUGGCAGCAAGUACUGGAGUUGGGGUAUUGGCUUGUGUUUUGGCUUUGUUGAUUCCCUUCCCACGCCUUGCUUCUCGAGAGGUACUUUCAAUUUACACACAUACAUGAAGCCAUUAUGCACUCUAAAAUUUAAGAUUUUUUAUUUAAAACUGCGACCCAAUUAAGUGCAGAAUAACAAACUGAAAGUGUAACUGAUCGAGAUUACUUACAUUUUAUUGUGUAAAUUAAAUAUUCAAUGUGUUUGAAUAUAUUUUGCAGGUUAAACAAAACUUAAAGCUACUUGCCAAGAAUGCUUCAGAAAUGCUCAAGAUCUUUGUAAAUGCGUUUUGCGCAGAAGAUAGCACAUCGGCACUUGCAUCAAUUUCUCAAGCAAAUUUCCUGGCUUCCACGGCAACCAAGCUUUUCCAAACUAUCAAAAGCCACCAAGUAAGUAAACUUUAUGCAUUAAUUACAAAAUAACAAUAUAUGCAUGAUGAAUUAAUUAUGUGUACAUAAUUUAUAACAUGAUUCAACAAAACUAUUUGGACCAUGUUCUCGUACUAUAUAUAUCGUGUACAGGGACGAAGCCAGAACUUUGUGUGAAUGGGGGCAUCCUCAAACAACAAAGCCAGAACUUCUGCAGAACCAGGUCGGAGAGCAAAACCAGAUCAGUUCAGUGGGGGCUCUGCUGCUGCAAACCCAGCUCAAUUUGAGCAGCAUCCCAGCGUCAGAAAAAUCUCAGUGGGGGCAUCCGCCCCCCCUAGGCCCAUGGUGGCUCCGUCCUUGAUCGUGUAUUGAUAGGAUUUUUAGGUACCUGCUCAAAGCGGUUAAAAUCACACAAAAUACUUGUAAGAGAAUAAGGUAGUUGUAGUAUAAACGGCUCAAGUAAUGUCAUUUUCCGCAUGGAUUAUUCAAAACAAUUUAUGCAAAACCAAAAUCUUAGUUAAUUAUUAGAAAACAAAAAUAGGAAAAAGUUGAUUUUGGAUUUAAGAAUAAUAAAAACGAAUUUUAAUAAAAGUAAUUUAGGAAAAACAACUAAUAACCAAUUAAGAAGAAAACAAAUAAAAAAGAAAAGGUUUUGAGAAAUAAAUUUGGAAGAGCACUAGGUUCCGUCAUCCCUUUAACAAUUUUAUGUAGAUUUACUCAGUGUUCUAAAAAACGGCCUAGGCAGCGCCUAGGAGCUCCACGGCUGGUUGUCGUUCCGAUUAAGGCCUAAUUGGUAGAAAAAUCGGAUCACCCACUAGCCGGCGUUAGGCGGGACACUAGGCGGGACAAGGCGGCGUUGGGAGGCAGCAGAUCAACUAAGUUUUUGGAGCUGCACCAUUUCAUCUUCUCUGCCAUCUGGGUAAAAAAAGGUUGUGCAGGUCAAAGAGAAGAAGAAGACAAUGAAUAGUAACCUUUUAAAAUAACCUAAGGUUAAACGACGUCGUCGGUUUGUUUUUUUAUGUGGGAAUUUAAUGGGCUUCCGCACACUUUAAUGGGCUUGUCCACCCAAAUACUAAAGUCCAAAAUAAACCUAGUCAAUCUGUUAAUGAGAGUUGUCAAUUAAUUGUUUAUUAUACUACCUAUUAAUUAAAGAACAUUCUUUGUGAAAGAAAAACUAAUGAAAAUGGAAGUAUAGUUUUUUUAUGAGUAAAUAUGUACAUAUUUAUAAUACUAAAUUUACUUAAAUCCGCUUAGCCGCCUAGGACUAGACCCCAAUCCACCGUCCAACUAGCGCCUAACGUUUUUUAGAACCUUUACUUAUGAAUUAUCCAUGCAACUUUGAAGGUUAUGAUUUCCUAAAAUAUAUCCUUUUUGUGGUCAAGCUAUAACGUAUAUCAAACAUGCAAUUUGUCUAUAGCAUUCAGAUCAAAUAUAAACAUGCAUGACUUAUUAUGCUUUGUGAAAACCCUUUGAAAAACCAUGCAACCCCUAAGAUGUGGCAUUCGCCCUAGGUGAAAUUACAAGUAUCAAUCACAAGAAGCAAUACUCAAUCCUCUGGUGGCAUUCCGAUUGAAUUGCAUCCGAUUACUAGUCUAAACAUCCUAAUGGUUGCGAAUCAUUAAGACACAAAGAUAGUUUAAACAUAGUGGUUAAUAAUUCAAAGUAUGCAUGCAUAAUAUCAUAAGCAAUUAAAUAAAAACUAUAUAGUCAUGCUAAGGCUCAAGGCAUCGUCCUAGCAAAAGAAAAUUAGUUUUGCAUAUUCAUAAUUAAAAUCAACAUAAUUGUAUUGAACUAGAAAAAGAUUGAAAACACCUUGUAGAAU